GGCCCCGCCCCCGCCCCUGCCCCGGGGCAGCCUGUGCUGUUCCGUGUGCGCGGCGCAUACGCACCUGGGUUGUCUCGAGCCUGCGGUAGUGGCCAGAUCCCAGACAUCCGAGUAGAUCCCGUGAAAAGGUCUCCCACGUGGGCUGUGGACAGGGCCCAAGGGUAGCAGAGCUAGCAGAGGCAGUGACGGACUGUGUGGCAGCUUCUUCUUGGUUUCUUCGUACAUUCUGGAUCCACCCCUUUCAUGCAUAUUCCAGACCACAUUUCCACUGGAGCAGUUGAAAUGAGAGAGAUGGGAAUGGGACUCACCCGAACCAGAGGAAUUUUUAUUACAGACCCAUUAACAGAGGUGUCAAAGUCACAGGAACAAGGAUGUGCACCUCAGAAACACAGAGGUCAGUGGAAAAUCAGUUUGCUUCUAUUUGUUUAAAAAAUGGGGGACUUAUGCAUAAAUCUAAGACCUUCUUGAAUCUAACAUUCUAAGACCUGUAUGCCACAGAAAGGAGGGUCUCAGAACGCCGGAGGAUAGUAUUUAAAUCUUAAAUAUCUAUAUUGUUCUCCACAGUUACUGGGUCACCACAUAGCAGGCAUUCAAUAAAAACGUGUUUGUUUACUA
Molecule: long non-coding RNA, 615 nt
Filed under: Homo sapiens (human)
Lineage: Eukaryota; Metazoa; Chordata; Mammalia; Primates; Hominidae
Description: HSALNT0305732
Source: RNAcentral